UCCAUGAAAACACCCAAAUCGGCAUGCCAUAAGGCUACCAUCGGGGUAAAGCAAUACACACUAAAAGGGAAGCCGCACUAAUGAUUCUAGUCUUGCAUUAGAGGAAAAAUCCUUAUAGGUUGCUCAUCAAAGGUUGCCCUUAUCAAACAAGUGCAACCUUUAAGGAACAAAAAAAAAAUAAAAAAAAAAAAUUUAAAAUCUGAAAAUUUUCCCAAAAAAAAAGCGCAACCUUAAUCUAGGAAUUAAAAAAAAAAAAACGACAGUCUCUCUUCCCUGCAAUCCAACGACAAUCCAACGUCUCUCACAGCUCCAUCAUAACAUCUCCCUGCACAGGUGACCGGCGAAGCCACCGGAGAAACCACACUCACACGCUCGCACCCUCUCUUAACCUUUACUCUCAACCCUAAACCCCAUUACUCUCUCGCUUUCUCUGCCGACAUUGAUCUAGAUUACACUCAAGCUCAAAUUGCUCUCUCAAUUUGAAGCUGUACGACACAUUGCAAACGAAAUCUAAAGACUUUGAGGUACUAAUUUGUCCCCCACCUUUUGAAUUUCGAUCUCUGGGUAUGUUUUGUUCUUGAUCUUUUUUCUAGUCUUGCUUGGGGUUUCAAUUUGGGGGUUUUCUUGGUAUAAGCUUAUUCAAAUUUCUCUCUUCAUGUUCCGAAAUUUUGGUUAUUUUCCAUGAUUUACAAGGUUAGAUAUUAGGUUUUCUAAAUUAUUUUCUGAUUUAGGUUUUGAUUUUAAUUUAAUAAUUAGCAAUAAUAUGAUCGAGUUUUAGUUUUCUUGGGUUGAGAAUUUUAGUGAGAUGCUUUUGCGACAAUAAUAUGAUUUUAAUUUUUGUAAUUAGCAAUAAGAUGAUCGAGUUUUUUUAUUGUAUAUUUGAAUCUAUUUUCUUCAAUAUCUAUUGCUCGGUGGUAGUGUUUGUUCAUGUUAAAUUUGUGGUCUUAUUGCUUGAUUCGUUCUCUGUUUCUUUUUGCAUUAAGUUUUUAGUUUAAUAAUACUUUUAUUAUCUUAUGAUUUCGAAUUCAGAAGAAACCUCAUGUCAUUUGUUUAAAUUGUUGGGUUUUGUUUUUUGGUUGAUCUAAAAUGAGGUUUCCUGUUGGUUGAUCUAUUAGUGUAGUGGACUAGUUAUAUUGCUGACCGUGAAUAAGUUGAGGACUUGCUGGUACUUGACAUUAUUUUCACAGUUAACAUGGGUGCUGCUGGAUAUAGUUUAUAGUUUUAGAAGGAUAAGGAGAAUUAUCUACUCUGCCAUAUAUUUAAUUAUACAUUUUUACUAGUUAUGCCAUACAAGUAACAGUAGGAAUAUCAACGAGUUAUGAAUAUACCAUUCAGUGCCAUUUGGAAUUUCAAGUUUUGAUAAUGAGACUAUGGUUAUCAAUUUUGAUCUCCAUUUAUAUUGUUUUGAUCAUCGGGAUAUGAUUAGCAAGUUUCCAGCUAAGAGUACUCUAAGUUGUUAGCUAACUCAUAUUUUGAGAUUAAAUAGGAACCAAUUGGCAGAUAAAUGGAUCACGAUAAGAAAUAAUACAGGAGUUCUUGGUGUUGAAAAUUGCUAUGAAAGUGGAAUCAGUUCCGCAAUGGGAGUAGUUAGGCUGUCAUGGUCGAAGGUUUUUUAAAAAGUAGAUCAUACGAUAAAUAAGUGUCUGCUUGGCUGUAGUGGUGAAUGAAAUAUGGACAUUAAUUGAGAAAGGAUGAGUUCUUGAAUCUCUCUGUUGCUUCUAAUGUGCAUCUGUGUAUGUCUUUUGUACUGCUUUUGUUCUGCACUAUACUUCUCUUCUGUUUUGCUCUGCUCGGAUACUGUUUCUGUACUGCUUUAUACUGCUGCUGUAGUUGACUAGUUGCUGCUGCAGUUGGCUUUGUAUUGCUGCUGUUGUGGCUGCUCCAGUUGGCUCGAAUCAGCAAUAACAUGAUAAAAGUAUAGCUUAAGGUCUCAUAUAAUACAACCAGCACUAUAUCAUGAUGUAAGAACAACUAAACAAAUCCAGUUAUUGUUUACCCCCCCCAACUAAACAACUAAACUAAAUUAUCACCUCAGUUGAUCAACCUUCUGAAAAUGUCAUUAAUGGCGAGCUGGUAGAUAGCCAUAAACUGAAAAGAAAAUCAAAACCAGUUAUUGUUUACCGCCCCCCCCCCCUCCCCCCCCGCUCUUUCUUCUUUUCUUGGGUGUACUUUUGUUGUUCUUCCAUUGCUCUCUCAGUUUUAUAAGGGGGAAUGUGGUUUAUUAUAAAGCAAUGUCAAUAGCGUUAUUAGGGUGAAUGUGGUUUCUUAUACAGAAAUCGCAUAGCUUUAUCAGGAGAAAUGUGGUUUCUUAUAAAGCAAUGGUACUCCAAUUCUUUCUACUUUUUAUGCUUUUCGCUUUUUAACCUUCUAGGAGAGCUUUUUGUUGUACAUUUUGGGCUUUCCAGUCUUUCUUUCUUCCCCCUUCUCCAGCAGACUUGUUAUCCUCUGGUGAGUGCAAUUAACAUGAUUUUUGCUGCAUGCAAAGUUUUCUUUAUAUCGAACUGCUGAUUUGAAGCAUUUGUAUAUUAAUAGUCGUAGGAUAGUUUAGGAGCUCCAUUCAUUUGUUGGACACAAUCUGGCAAGACAUGACCGACACCGAUUUAGAAAGAACAAAGCAUAUCAUGGCGGAUAUGAUCUGCCCUGUUCUGUUGGACACAAUCAUUAAAGGUUCUUCUUUACUUAAGUUCUCCCUUGAAAUUUAUUUGAUCUACUCAGUUUGUAGAAGUUUUAAGCAUUUGUUUAGUGACGUUCUUUGAUUUCUUGCUGUAUGAAUUUAUGUGAAAUUUUUUAUUCUUUGAUUUGUUUGAUCUACUCAAUUGAAAUGUUCUGUCUCCACAGUCAAUUUCCUUCUCUGUAGUUGAGUUCAUUUCUGUUUCAAAGUAAGAUAGCUAAAGUAUGCACCAAUUGAAAUGCCUUUUAUGUUCACUUGUCUUGAGGUCAAUCUUCAUCAUAUAAACAAUGUUUCUUAGUAAAACGGUAAGUUGUGCUGCACAUAGUAAUUUGUGUAGGUGAUGGUAGUUAGUAUAUUGCUCAAGACUGGGCCAUUUAGUUCCUUCUGAAGAUAGAUAUUGUUGCAAUGAGGAGAUAAGUAUCUGCUUUAACAGUGUUGCAUUUUCGGAGUUUCAGUUACAAUUUUGUGGAAAAUAUAUUACUCUUAUUAGAGUUAUUCCCUCUUUCCCGUCAUAUUGAUAACAUUUUGUAAGUACCAAAAAAAGGGAAAUAUGGAUUGAUUUCUGUCUACUAUUAACUGUAUUGACGUAUAAUGUAUUCACAUGUUCAUGCAGUUUUGAGUUUUUAACUAUAUUUUAAAAUAGUUAAAAGUAGAAAUUACUAACUUAUGGGGUAGACUGGCAGAAGGGUUAGAAACUACGUAUUUGUUGCCUCUUUAUACCGCAAAAUGUGUUGGGUUAUUGUUUUUGUAUAGCGUAGGCAGUAAACAUGGGAUAACACUAACAACGCUAUUUUUACUGAUUGUAAGUGCAACAUAGGUUUGAAAUGGAGCUCCUUUUUGCAGUAUCAAAGGUGGAAUUCUUGUCCAAUCCUUGUGUAGUUUAUUUUCUGUCAUACUAAUGAGAUUUUCCAAAAGAAUUUUAAUAGAUUGUUAAUUGUUUAACAUGAAUUGGGAUACUGCUUCUAUACCGAGUGAGGCUGGUAUAAAUCUAUAGUUGUUCUUUCUCUCAACUUUUUCUCCGGCAGAUAGGUUAAAUUUGGUACACUUUGAAAUUUUGUCAUUAUCUUACAGGCAAUCCUCGAAUUUCUACCGUCAAUAUUAUCUGGAUUAAUCCAGUCACAACAACUUGGGUGCAAAGUCCUUGUAGCAGUACAAAGGGUGUAGCAGUACAAAGGGUGUAGCAGUACAAAGGGUGAAUUAGCUGUGGAAGUAGCUCUGGAGAAGGAAGCAGUCAGGCUAACUGGUGAUGCAUGGAGGAUUAUCCUAGAUUGUUGUCUGCUUGUUUUCCACCUGAUUGAUACUAGGCGCUCUAUUCCAUAUGCAAUAAAACAAAUCCAAGACCUUUUUGGAAUAUCAUGUGCCUUUGAUCAAGCAGUGCAGGUUUUCAAAACUCCAAGGGAGGGGACCUUUACCAAGGAGGAGUUGGAUGAAGUUCGAGACAAGUGGGCUACUUACUUCAACGAUUGUGAACUACCCUCAGUGUAAUAAGUAGAACAAGCUUGUAGUUAUCCGUUACUCUUACAUUAUUUUGUUAUUUAUCGAUUUAAUUAAUUACAUUUGAAUUAAUACGGUAAUAUUAUUGGAAAUUUGAAAUUAAUAUCAUUUUUGAGGAAUGUCAAACUGAUGUUUGGUGAAA
Long non-coding RNA from Spinacia oleracea (spinach), 4307 nucleotides. RefSeq lists it as uncharacterized. The transcript has 2 exons. The record is from RefSeq and is a predicted model, not a curated record. Lineage: Eukaryota; Viridiplantae; Streptophyta; Magnoliopsida; Caryophyllales; Amaranthaceae.